RNAcentral lists this transfer RNA (69 nucleotides) under Ictidomys tridecemlineatus (thirteen-lined ground squirrel). Its description in RNAcentral is "Spermophilus tridecemlineatus (thirteen-lined ground squirrel) tRNA". It matches the Rfam family "tRNA". Rfam says of the family: Transfer RNA (tRNA) molecules are approximately 80 nucleotides in length. Their secondary structure includes four short double-helical elements and three loops (D, anti-codon, and T loops). Lineage: Eukaryota; Metazoa; Chordata; Mammalia; Rodentia; Sciuridae. The record is from Rfam by way of RNAcentral.
GGGGUUGUGGCUCAGAGGAAGAGCACUCGCCUAGCAUGCGUGAGGCAUUGGGUUUGAUCCUUAGCCCCA